RNAcentral lists this ribosomal RNA (465 nucleotides) under uncultured bacterium. RNAcentral describes it as "partial 16S ribosomal RNA". It matches the Rfam family "Bacterial small subunit ribosomal RNA", at positions 28 to 507 of the family's 1533-position model. The record is from RNAcentral.
GACGAACGCUGGCGGCGUGCUUAACACAUGCAAGUCGAGCGGUAAGGCCCCUUCGGGGGUACACGAGCGGCGAACGGGUGAGUAACACGUGAGCAAUCUGCCCAUCACAUCGGGAUAACUCCGGGAAACCGAAGCUAAUACCGAAUACGACCACCUCCGGCAUCGGAUGGUGGUGGAAAGUUCCGGCGGUGAUGGAUGAGCUCGCGGCCUAUCAGCUUGUUGGUGGGGUAACGGCCCACCAAGGCUUCGACGGGUAGCCGGCCUGAGAGGGUGACCGGCCACACUGGGACUGAGACGCGGCCCAGACUCCUACGGGAGGCAGCAGUGGGGAAUAUUGGACAAUGGGCGAAAGCCUGAUCCAGCAACGCCGCGUGAGGGAUGACGGCCUUCGGGUUGUAAACCUCUUUCAGCAGGGACGAAGCGCAAGUGACGGUACCUGCAGAAGAAGCACCGGCCAACUACGUG